GGAUCGGUAGUCUAGUGGCUAGGAUGACGCUCUCACACAGCGUAAAGAUGAUUUCAUCUCGCUAAGGUCAUGGGUUCGAAUCCCAUCCGAUCCACUA
RNAcentral lists this transfer RNA (97 nucleotides) under Nitrosopumilales archaeon. RNAcentral describes it as "tRNA-Val". It matches the Rfam family "tRNA". From Rfam's summary of the family: Transfer RNA (tRNA) molecules are approximately 80 nucleotides in length. Their secondary structure includes four short double-helical elements and three loops (D, anti-codon, and T loops). The record is from RNAcentral. Lineage: Archaea; Thermoproteati; Nitrososphaerota; Nitrososphaeria; Nitrosopumilales.